AAUGCCAAGGGUCCAGACAAAGAGUGUCAAGUACCCUGAGGGUUGGGAAUUGAUUCAGCCUACUCUACUCGAACUACAAGCAAAGAUGAGAGAAGUGUACAUCCUUGAUUGUUUUCACGGCUGAAAAUGAUCUGCAUGAUGGUAAAAGAAAAUGUGAGGCUUUGUGGCCUAUUUUUAAGAUAGUACAUCAAAAGAGCCGCUACAUUUUUGACCUUUACCAUCGGAGAAAGGAAAUAUCCAAGGAAUUAUACGAGCUGUGUUUGGAUCAAAGCUAAGCUGACCGUAAUCUUAUCUCAAAGUGGAAGAAGGUUACUCUUACAACUCCAACAGUUGAGACUGCAAUUUUUUAUUAUUUUUAAACUUUGCUUGCUUUGUUUAUGGAACAUAGCAACCACAACUGUGUUUUCGUUCUGGAAAAAGGUAAAUAACUUAGAUAACACUGUUAAAUGA
Long non-coding RNA from Hevea brasiliensis (rubber tree), 450 nucleotides. RefSeq lists it as uncharacterized. The transcript has 2 exons. NCBI's taxonomy places the organism in Eukaryota, Viridiplantae, Streptophyta, Magnoliopsida, Malpighiales, Euphorbiaceae. The record is from RefSeq and is a predicted model, not a curated record.